UCAUCAAUAACAUAACCUUAAGUCAUCAAUGUGUACAACUUUAUUACUCAGCCAACUUAAAUGUAUUAUUUAUUGUGUAUACUUCUUAUAUUAUUGGAUAUAUAAGCACUACAGCACAUGAUAUUCUUAAAAGGUAAGAAAAUUAAAACAGAAUGGCUAUAUUGCAAAAAAAAAUAAUUAAUUUCCAUGGAAGAAAAACGACCAAUAUAAAAUUGUAUUGACAUUUGGAUUUGGUAUACACAAUUUCCAAGUACAAUAAAAACACUCAAAUCACGUAUAAUAUUACGAUCACGUAAUCACGUAAUUUAUUGUUUAAAAUAGGAAAAACGAAUUUCCCCGAACUUUUGGUACUGUGUGCAGGUAUAACAUUUUGAAAACGAUCAUGGACGACAAUAUUAAAUUGCAUUACGCACGACCAACGUCAUACGCCCUCGAAGAAACACUAUAGUAUAAUAUAUACCAUUGAAGAAUCGUUUCAAACCCUUAUUAUAUAAUAUCAAUUUCGUAUUGGAUCGAAAGGAAUAGUGGUUACUGGUUACUAGCUAGUCAGGAUAAUGAUAACGGGUUUAUCAAAGACAUUAUAAUAGUAUUAUAAUAUUUGCGACGAUCAAAUAAAAACCGCAGGUACUAAGUUCGGCAACACAAACAGAUUUGACAGAACUAUUUUGCGAUGAACCUCGCUGUUUGACGAUUAAUUAAUAUUAAUCAAACGGUUUCAAACGCGAACAACGGAGACGAUGGCGAUCAAGCUUACACGCGGUGAGUCGAAUAUACUAAUAUAUUAUAUGCGUAAGCUCUAAUGAUUUUAUCAACACUUUAAAAAAUAUAUAAUAA
Aphis gossypii (cotton aphid) is the source of this 834-nucleotide long non-coding RNA. RefSeq lists it as uncharacterized. Lineage: Eukaryota; Metazoa; Arthropoda; Insecta; Hemiptera; Aphididae. The record is from RefSeq and is a predicted model, not a curated record. The transcript is spliced from 3 exons.